GAUGAACGCUGGCGGCGUGCCUAAUACAUGCGAGUCGAGCGAACAGACGAGGAGCUUGCUCCUCUGACGUUAGCGGCGGACGGGUGAGUAACACGUGGAUAACCUACCUAUAAGACUGGGAUAACUUCGGGAAACCGGAGCUAAUACCGGAUAAUAUAUUGAACCGCAUGGUUCAAUAGUGAAAGACGGUUUUGCUGUCACUUAUAGAUGGAUCCGCGCCGCAUUAGCUAGUUGGUAAGGUAACGGCUUACCAAGGCGACGAUGCGUAGCCGACCUGAGAGGGUGAUCGGCCACACUGGAACUGAGACACGGUCCAGACUCCUACGGGAGGCAGCAGUAGGGAAUCUUCCGCAAUGCGCGAAAGCCUGACGGAGCAACGCCGCGUGAGUGAUGAAGGUCUUCGGAUCGUAAAACUCUGUUAUUAGGGAAGAACAAAUGUGUAAGUAACUAUGCACGUCUUGACGGUACCUAAUCAGAAAGCCACGGCUAACUACGUG
RNAcentral lists this ribosomal RNA (497 nucleotides) under uncultured bacterium. RNAcentral's name for it is "partial 16S ribosomal RNA". It matches the Rfam family "Bacterial small subunit ribosomal RNA", at positions 28 to 507 of the family's 1533-position model. The record is from RNAcentral.